UGGGGAAUCUUCCGCAAUGGGCGAAAGCCUGACGGAGCAAUGCCGCGUGAGUGAAGAAGGGAUUCGUCCCGUAAAGCUCUGUUGUUCAUGACGAACGGCCGAUUUGUGAAUAAUGGAUCGGAGUGACGGUAGUGGACGAGGAAGCCACGGCUAACUACGUGCCAGCAGCCGCGGUAAUACGUAGGUGGCGAGCGUUGUCCGGAAUUAUUGGGCGUAAAGAGCAUGUAGGCGGUCUUUUAAGUCUGGGGUGAAAAUGCGGGGCUCAACCCCGUAUGGCAACAGAUACUGGAGGACUUGAGUACAGGAGAGGAAAGGGGAAUUCCCAGUGUAGCGGUGAAAUGCGUAGAUAUUGGGAGGAACACCAGUGGCGAAGGCGCCUUUCUGGACUGUGUCUGACGCUGAGAUGCGAAAGCCAGGGUAGCGAACGGG
This 429-nucleotide ribosomal RNA is filed under the name uncultured bacterium. RNAcentral describes it as "bacterial SSU rRNA". It matches the Rfam family "Bacterial small subunit ribosomal RNA", at positions 355 to 776 of the family's 1533-position model. The record is from RNAcentral.